GGGUUUAGUUUGAAAAGAGGGAGUUUGAAGGUGAUUUGGGCAGAGGUUUUGUGGCUUUUAAGUUUGAAAAAUGAGUGGGGAUAGUUCUCUAUUUAUAGGGGAAGCUAAGGGGUUGAAUGGGGUGAACCAAAGGGUCCUUUGUGUAAAAAACAGGGCCAUUUUUGCUGUUUGCGCAGGCGUAAUCGGUUACCCUGAUUAGGGUAAUC
RNAcentral lists this long non-coding RNA (206 nucleotides) under Lathyrus oleraceus (garden pea). RNAcentral describes it as "Pisum sativum (pea) long non-coding RNA (PSAT_LNC014449)". The record is from RNAcentral. Lineage: Eukaryota; Viridiplantae; Streptophyta; Magnoliopsida; Fabales; Fabaceae.